Molecule: ribosomal RNA, 383 nt
Filed under: uncultured eukaryote
Lineage: Eukaryota
Description: partial 18S ribosomal RNA
Rfam family: Eukaryotic small subunit ribosomal RNA
Source: RNAcentral
CAAUAGCGUAUAUUAAAGUUGUUGCAGUUAAAAAGCUCGUAGUUGGAUUUCUGGUGGGAGCGAUCGGUCUGGCGCUUAGCGCGAGUACUUGCAUCGUCUCCGGCCAUCCUUGGGGAGAGUCUGUCUGGCAUUAGGUUGUCGGGCAGAGGAUCCUCAUCGUUUACUGUGAAAAAAUUAGAGUGUUCAAAGCAGGCUUAUGCCGUUGAAUAUGUUUGCAUGGAAUAAUAAGAUAGGACUUUGGUACUAUUUUGUUGGUUUGCGCACCAAAGUAAUGAUUAAUAGGGACAGUUGGGGGUAUUCGUAUUCCGUUGUCAGAGGUGAAAUUCUUGGAUUUACGGAAGACGAACUACUGCGAAAGCAUUUACCAAGGAUGUUUUCAUUAA